This 468-nucleotide ribosomal RNA is filed under the name uncultured bacterium. Its description in RNAcentral is "partial 16S ribosomal RNA". It matches the Rfam family "Bacterial small subunit ribosomal RNA", at positions 28 to 507 of the family's 1533-position model. The record is from RNAcentral.
GACGAACGCUGGCGGCGUGCUUAACACAUGCAAGUCGAACGGAAAGGCCCUGCUUUUGUGGGGUGCUCGAGUGGCGAACGGGUGAGUAACACGUGAGUAACCUGCCCUUGACUUUGGGAUAACUUCAGGAAACUGGGGCUAAUACCGGAUAGGAGCUCCUGCUGCAUGGUGGGGGUUGGAAAGUUUCGGCGGUUGGGGAUGGACUCGCGGCUUAUCAGCUUGUUGGUGGGGUAGUGGCUUACCAAGGCUUUGACGGGUAGCCGGCCUGAGAGGGUGACCGGCGACAUGGGGACUGAGAGACGGCCCAGACUCAGAAGGGAGGAAGCGGGGGGGAGUAGUGCACAGUGGGUGGGAGCCUGAUGCAGCAACGCCGCGUGCGGGAUGACGGCCUUCGGGUUGGAAAACGCUUGCGCCGGUGACGAAGGGGGAGUGAAGGGAAGGGGUAAAGAAGCACCGGCUAACUACGUG